Molecule: long non-coding RNA, 752 nt
Organism: Gavialis gangeticus (Gharial)
Lineage: Eukaryota; Metazoa; Chordata; Crocodylia; Gavialidae
Exons: 2
Source: RefSeq, a predicted model, not a curated record
UCUUCCCCGAGCCGGGACAGGAGGGAGACCCAUUUAGAGAGCCUAAGAGGGAGCGACCCAUUGUCCAAAUUGUUGGGUAAUGUCAUCUCUUCCGUUCUCCGCUCCGAGCCGCUCACAUCUCUGAAGGACAUCUCGGGGCGCGGAGCGGGGCUGGCUGUAGCGCUUUAGGAGGGGUGUUGCGUGCACACGUUACACCAGCAGACACACGGGGUGGCAAGCCCGGUGAAGAUGACUUGAAAGAAGUGGUUGAAACAUCUAAACACAAGAGUUUUCCCUGUUUAGGAGACGCCAAAGAACUGAAUAUAAUGCUGCAGAUUUGUCAGUCCCAUUACUUUGUAUUAGUAGGACUUUCAUUAAACCUUGCUGAAAAUGGGGGGGCGGGGGAGGUGUCUCGAUUCUUUAAGGAGUAAAAUCAAAUGCUAGUGAAAUUUUACAAAUGAGCAUGUUUCUCUGACCAUCCUGAAAUUACAAGGUGUCUUUCUGCUGUCACAUUUUUAGCAGAGAUAUUCUAUGCUGGAUUUUAUUAGGCGUGUGGAAAUACAGUGCAGUACAGUACAAUGCUCAGAAGCCUGAGUAAUAUGUAAAUGUUUGUACAUUUUUCUACCAAAGUGCUUCUCUGGUAUGCUGCAAUAAAAUCUUUGUUGCCUUAAUUAGUUAUUGUUUAUAAGGGGUUUAAGGUCCUGGAACUGAUCCCAGUAUGAAAAAGAACAUAUUAAUAGUGGAUAACAAAUAAAAUUGGACCUUAUAUAUCA